Molecule: non-coding RNA, 1204 nt
Organism: Penaeus vannamei (Pacific white shrimp)
Lineage: Eukaryota; Metazoa; Arthropoda; Malacostraca; Decapoda; Penaeidae
Source: RefSeq, a predicted model, not a curated record
UGUGUGUGUGUGUGUGUGUGUGUGUGUGAAGAGAGAGAGGGUGGGAGAGAAAGAGAUAGAUAGAGAGAGAGAGAGAGUGGGAGACAGAGAGAGAGAUACAGAGAUAGAGAGAUCGUGCGUGUGUCUGUGUGCACGUGGAUGAAUGAAUGUAUGUGUUCUUAUUAUUUCUCUGUUACCAAUGAUAAUAUUAGUAAACCUCCAUGUUGAUUAGACCAUAAAUAAAUCAACGCUUUCUUACUAAUUUGCUAAUAGAAAUUACUAAAUCAAUCAUAAAGGUAGUUAGCAGAAUUUUUUAACAUCUUCCUAUCCGGUUAUUUUUUUUCUCACACGUUAUAUCAUUGUCAUACAUGUCAGUCAUCCACAGGCAUGUUGCGAGCAUGCUAUGCACGCUAAUCACCUCGUUAUACACCCCAUACACAUAGUAUAUAUGCUAUACACGUAUGUCAUGCAUCAUCAUGCUUACUGAAGUCCUGCGAUGAAAAGGACACGCAAAUUUCCAGCAUUUUCUGCUCUUUCACCCAUUCGGCUUGCCUCAGUUCCUCGGAUCUUUUUCUUUGAACGUCAUGCAUGCCCUCUGUCAUGAGGUCUGGCUUUGUGGUUAUAACAUAUCAUGAAAGUGGUGUCAUUUCUGAUAGCUCUAGCGGUUCUCAUCUUAUUUCUAACUUCAUUAGUCUUUAAGGAAAUCUCUUUCUGAAUACAGUCGGUGAUAAACAUGAUUAGCUUCUACACCAAAUGUACCUAUAUAUACUAUAUUUAUAUUACUGUGUAAGUUCUAAAUCGUUAUACUUGUUAUAGAAGAGAUUUAAUUUUGGUUACCCGCAUCCUUGCAAUCAGAAUUAUAUUGAAAUUUAAGAAAGAAAGUAAGACAAAAACACUGCACAGCUGUUUUAUAAACUAUCUUACCCCGAGGCAGUUGUGUGCUCGCUGCGAUGACCAUGGCUAAGCAACUCCCCUUGUUAAUGCACAGACCUCCAAAGACUUUUCCGGGGAAGAAUUCUGAUCGUGACUUCUUGCCGUUCAGUGGACGAGGAACGAGAACACUUUCCAAAGAACGGAAAUGUAUUUAAGAGUGCACAGUCUCCUCGCACACGCAUGCACUUCGAUCACUCUCCUGAACUUAUCCCUGACUUCGUUUGACCUUCUUCCCGAGCGAGGUCACUGAACCCUCUCUUCCAGGCAACAACUUCCAAAAAAAAAAAAAAAA